UACGGGGGGGGCAAGCGUUGUUCGGAAUUACUGGGCGUAAAGGGUUUGUAGGUGGCUUGUUAAGUCAGACGUGAAAUCCCUCAGCUUAACUGGGGAACUGCGUCUGAGACUGGUGAGCUUGAGUGCAGGAGAGGAACGCGGAAUUCCAGGUGUAGCGGUGAAAUGCGUAGAUAUCUGGAGGAACACCGGUGGCGAGGCGGCGUUCUGGACUGCAACUGACACUGAUGAACGAAAGCCAGGGGAGCAAACGGG
RNAcentral lists this ribosomal RNA (252 nucleotides) under uncultured bacterium. Its description in RNAcentral is "partial 16S ribosomal RNA". It matches the Rfam family "Bacterial small subunit ribosomal RNA", at positions 524 to 776 of the family's 1533-position model. The record is from RNAcentral.